AGCGAACGCUGGCGGCAGGCUUAACACAUGCAAGUCGAGCGGGCGUAGCAAUACGUCAGCGGCAGACGGGUGAGUAACGCGUGGGAACAUACCUUUUGGUUCGGAACAACACAGGGAAACUUGUGCUAAUACCGGAUAAGCCCUUACGGGGAAAGAUUUAUCGCCGAAAGAUUGGCCCGCGUCUGAUUAGCUAGUUGGUGAGGUAACGGCUCACCAAGGCGACGAUCAGUAGCNGGUCUGAGAGGAUGAUCAGCCACAUUGGGACUGAGACACGGCCCAAACUCCUACGGGAGGCAGCAGUGGGGAAUAUUGGACAAUGGGCGCAAGCCUGAUCCAGCCAUGCCGCGUGAGUGAUGAAGGCCCUAGGGUUGUAAAGCUCUUUUGUGCGGGAAGAUAAUGACGGUACCGCAAGAAUAACGCCCCGGCUAACUUCGUGCCAGCAGCCG
Molecule: ribosomal RNA, 446 nt
Filed under: uncultured bacterium
Lineage: Bacteria
Description: bacterial SSU rRNA
Rfam family: Bacterial small subunit ribosomal RNA
Source: RNAcentral